GGGCGUGAAAGCCCCGUGCUCAACGCGGGGAGUCCGCACAAUACUGUCAGGCUAGAGGGCACCAGAGGGCUCUGGUAUUCCCGGAGUACCGGUAAAAUGCGCAGAUAUCGGGAGGAACACCGGUGGCGAAAGCGGCACCCUGGGGUGCGCCUGACGCUGAGAGACGACAGCUAGGGGAGCGAACAGGAUUAGAGACCCUGGUAGUCCUAGCCGUAAACGAUGGAUGCUAGGUGUAGGAGUGAAGAGCUUCUGUGCCGCAGCGAACGCGAUAAGCAACCCGCCUGGGGAGUACGGCCGCAAGGUUAAAACUCAAACGAAUUGACGGGGACCCGCACAAGCAGCGGAGCGUGUGGUUUAAUUCGAUGCUACACGAAGAACCUUACCUGGGAUUGACAUAUGGGUGGUAGUGAUCCGAAAGGAGAGCGACCCUUCGGGGAGCCUAUACAGGUGCUGCAUGGCUGUCGUCAGCUCGUGCCGUGAGGUGUCGGGUUAAGUCCCGUAACGAGCGCAACCCUUGUCCUUAGUUACAAGUGUCUAAGGGGACUGCCGGCGGGAAGCCGGAGGAAGGUGGGGAUGACGUCAAGUCAGCAUGGCCCUUAUAUCCAGGGCGACACACACGCUACAAUGGUCGGUACAGAGGGCAGCGAAGCCGCGAGGUGGAGCGAAACCCAGAAAGCCGGUCGUAGUUCGGAUUGCAGGCUGCAACUCGCCUGCAUGAAGUUGGAGUUGCUAGUAACCGCAGGUCAGCCAUACUGCGGUGAUACGUUCCCGGGUCUUGUACACACCGCCCGUCACGUCAUGGGAGUCUGUAACGCCUGAAAGCGGUAGCCUGACCGCAAGGGAGGCGCUGUCGAGGGCGGGGCUGGCAACUGGGACGAAGUCG
RNAcentral lists this ribosomal RNA (883 nucleotides) under uncultured organism. RNAcentral describes it as "bacterial SSU rRNA". It matches the Rfam family "Bacterial small subunit ribosomal RNA", at positions 590 to 1488 of the family's 1533-position model. The record is from RNAcentral.